This 236-nucleotide ribosomal RNA is filed under the name uncultured bacterium. Its description in RNAcentral is "partial 16S ribosomal RNA". It matches the Rfam family "Bacterial small subunit ribosomal RNA", at positions 99 to 334 of the family's 1533-position model. The record is from RNAcentral.
CGAACGGGUGAGUAACGCGUGAGGAACCUGCCUCAAAGAGGGGGACAACAGUUGGAAACGACUGCUAAUACCGCAUAAGCCCACGGCUCGGCAUCGAGCAGAGGGAAAAGGAGUGAUCCGCUUUGAGAUGGCCUCGCGUCCGAUUAGCUAGUUGGUGAGGUAACGGCCCACCAAGGCACGAUCGGUAGCCGGACUGAGAGGUUGAACGGCCACAUUGGGACUGAGACACGGCCCAG